This is an RNA transcript of Dipodomys ordii (Ord's kangaroo rat), 890 nucleotides long. It is a transcript of the gene named cytochrome c, somatic pseudogene, with no coding region annotated. The record is from RefSeq and is a predicted model, not a curated record. The transcript has a single exon. NCBI's taxonomy places the organism in Eukaryota, Metazoa, Chordata, Mammalia, Rodentia, Heteromyidae.
GACGUCUGCCUGCGGAGCUGUUGUCCUUGCUGUUAUAACGAGGAAAGAGCGAAUUGAAAAUGGGUGAUGUUGAGAAAGGCAAGAAGAUUUUUGUUCAGAAGUGUGCCCAGUACUACACUGUUGAAAAGGGAGGCAAGCACAAGACUGGGCCUAAUCUCCAUGGUCUGUUUGGUCGGAAGACGGGUCAAGCAGCUGGAUUCUCUUACACAGAUGCCAACAAGAACAAAGGCAUCACCUGGGGAGAGGAUACACUGAUGGAGUAUUUGGAGAAUCCCAAAAAGUACAUCCCUGGGACAAAAAUGAUCUUCGCUGGCAUUAAGAAGAAGGGAGAAUGGGCAGAUUUGAUAGCUUACCUCAAAAAAGCUACAAAUGAGUAAUAGCCACUGCCUUAGUUAUUUAUUGCAAAACCCCAAUGUCUCAUGGCUUUUUAAUGUGUACCAUAAUUCAAUUGAUUUCUAAUAUCAGAUUUCAGAUCAUGAAUGGCUGGCAGAAUAUUUUUAGACAGUCCUAAUUUAAGUAAAACUGGCUUGUGGCUAAGUGAAUAUGAUCUUUAAAAAAAUAGUCACUUUUUUCCCCCUUCUGUCAUAUGAUUGGACUUACUAAUGUUCAGUUUUUCAGCAAGGUAGGGAAUAAUACCAUCUCCAAAUCUGUUAAAGAUUGGUUUUAUAUUCAGAUUUAUAUGGCUAAUUAUGAGAACAUCAUUAAAUACUGAGGAAACCCCUUUACUGUCUCAGAAUCAAGUAAAGCUAACCUGUUAAAGGUAAUGGCUGAAGAUGAAGAACAAUGUCUAUAUUUUUGGUCCUGACUACACCAAUUUAAUUAGAAUUACCUUUCUCUGAAAUCUGCCUUUUACUUAUUGAAAGGCAUUUUAGUAUGGCUUGUGUAUAAAU